CACGUAGGGGGCAAGCGUUGUCCGGAUUUAUUGGGCGUAAAGAGCUCGUAGGUGGUUCGGUAAGUCGGGUGUGAAAUCCCCAGGCUUAACCUGGGAACUGCAUUCGAGACUGCAUUGCUAGAGUAUGGGAGAGGGAAGUGGAAUUUCCGGUGUAGCGGUGAAAUGCGUAGAUAUCGGAAGGAACAUCAGUGGCGAAAGCGACUUCCUGGACCAAUACUGACGCUCAUGUGCGAAAGCGUGGGGAGCAAACAGG
RNAcentral lists this ribosomal RNA (253 nucleotides) under uncultured bacterium. RNAcentral describes it as "partial 16S ribosomal RNA". It matches the Rfam family "Bacterial small subunit ribosomal RNA", at positions 524 to 776 of the family's 1533-position model. The record is from RNAcentral.